ACAUUUGCUCAGCAGAAAGCAGUACUCAGCCUCUGCCUUCAACAGCCCAGGCAGAACUGUGUGCCAUUGUUGAUAUUCUGCUCCUGGGAAAGCAGUCAGAAAUAGGAGAUGUCCUGCAGGAACAUGGAAGACAUCAUCUGUCUUGGAGCUUGGUGAAAAUCAGCCUUACAAGUGAAGGCAGUGGAGCAAGUGGAGACACACCUGCUUGUACUGUGGUUAAAGAUGCUCUAAUAUCUUUUAAGGAUGUUCCUCACUGAUGCGGCUCUUCACUGACCUGAUUAUGCCAGCUCAUGAAUCACUGUGGUGUAUUUAUGUUUCUAAACCAUAUUAUGCUUUGCCUAAAAUCUUUGUGUAGUUGGCAAUUGGUAUUACUCAUCAUAUACAACAUGAAAGAGGGGAACACUUCCUCCUUUGGAAAAGCAGCAUAUCCUUAGCUUGUCUUCCAGAGAUCAGGGAAUGAAGAAACUUUGAAUUUCAACUUCAUUUUGGCCACACCCAGAAGAAAAAUGAGAUGACUCAAGGAGGCUUGGAGGCUCUGCUCACGAACGUUUGCCCCAAGGGUGCAACCAAGCUGCUCCUCUGCCACAGGGCCUGUUUUCACAGUGCUGCAGCAGCUGCACGUCCCCAUUGUAGCACAGCUGAUGCUUGGGCCUACCGAGCUCUUGAGCGGAUUUGUGCCCAGAGAAAGCAUCCCCAUGUCACUGUGGUGAUAGCCAUUGUGGAGGUGUGGUGAGACACAGCUCCAAGGACCUUCCACAGUCAGCAGUUUCUGUCCCUCUCAGUCCCAAUCUUGAUGCCAUUGGCAUGCUCCUAACCUGAGGACAGAGGCAAGACUAUCUCCCCAGUGAUGGGCAGCUGCUCCAGAAACUAAGGUAAGGGAACAAAAUGGGAUUUUUUGCCUCCUGCUGCUGGUUCUGCUGUGAAGCUACAGCAUAACACACAAAGUCACCCUGGGCAUUUCAGCCAUCUGCACAGUGGAAACCAAAUGUCUCUCCAGGAAGAGGCUGGUAUUUGCUGAUAACCAGCUCUGGACCACCUUUUUGACGAAGCUUUUUUUCUUCUAAUAAUUCCACAUGUAGGAUGAAGUGGCUACAGACAAGUUGGCCAGAUGAGGAUGCAGUUAGUUUUCACCUUGUUUCUCCUCAGGGACUAUCAAAAUACGUUACAGAGAGUUUUAAAUACCUGAUCCCAAACUCACCUUUUUAGGUUUCCUAAGGCCUGAGGCUCCAGGCUUUAUGGCUGCAGGCCGCCAUGCGUAGUUCUGUGCCUCAGGACAAGUUAUUACUGAGCACUCCUGUGUCUUUGAAGACACAAAGGCUUGCCAUGCACAAGGAUGUGGCUCCUUCCUCGUGGAGGAGGUGAAGAAUGCCUCCAGGUAAACCUGGAGUAUAAUCCCUGUGCCCAUGUAAGAUUAAAAUGUUCUGUACAAUGCCUUUGUUGGCAGCAGGAGACAGAGGAAUCCCUAUGUACAUGUGCUGUGUAUUUAGCGAUAUAUAACCAACAGGGGGCAUUAAGUUUAUGCUGAUUAAAUGUGUAUUUCUACUUCGAGCAGAGGGGAAUCUCUACCUCGCUUGAUUGAAAACAGCAAGACUGGAAUCCUUUAUCCUGCAAAUAAGUAGGAUUAGGCCCUGUUUUUUCAGAAGAUUUAUAAUUAGGAAAUGUAUAAGUCUCUUCUAUUUCCUUUGUCUAGCUUGUGUUUAUCUUGAGAUGAAAAUGAAUGAGAUUGAUAUAAUUAAGAUCCAGAUGAUUUCUGUGUGACAUGUAGCUCAAAAACCACUUGAAAAAUCUAAGCGUUUCUGGUGCAAAUUAUUUGUAUCAAUGAUUUCCAGCUUUCUAACCAGGAAUUAAAGUUAGGCGGCAAUUAUAUUUUUCUGACAGGAAUCAGAUGAAGCAGUAGAAUUAGCUGCUGCUCUUCAUUGUGGCAGAAAACUUUGCUCAAGUUAUUGGAUUACUAAAUGCAGAGGACUGUAGAAAGGAGCUACAGUGUGGAUGUGAAUUGUGGUUUCUGGAAAUGAAAGUAGUAUUUAUUACAGAGAUAAUUAUGAUGGGUACAACCACUCAUGUACGUGGGACUCCUGGCAUACAUUCUGAGGGAGAUGUGGUUUCUGAUGUUUAUGGCACCAAUUAAAGAAGAAGCUUCUCCCUCUUCACGUUUUAGAAACUGCAGCCUUUUCUGUGCUGCUGCCACACUCACAUAGUUACAUACACCUUUAAGUGAAGGGCUUUCUACUGUCUGUGGUUAAAUCGAGCUGGAUUUGAAAAUAAAUGUUAAUGCUGAGGAGAAUUGCUUUCA
Molecule: long non-coding RNA, 2293 nt
Organism: Numida meleagris (helmeted guineafowl)
Lineage: Eukaryota; Metazoa; Chordata; Aves; Galliformes; Numididae
Source: Ensembl